CGAUUGGCGCAGUGGUAGCGCGCUUCGUUCACACCGAAGAGGUCACUGGUUCGAACCCAGUAUCG
RNAcentral lists this transfer RNA (65 nucleotides) under Rothia aeria F0184. RNAcentral describes it as "tRNA-Val". It matches the Rfam family "tRNA". From Rfam's summary of the family: Transfer RNA (tRNA) molecules are approximately 80 nucleotides in length. Their secondary structure includes four short double-helical elements and three loops (D, anti-codon, and T loops). The record is from RNAcentral. Lineage: Bacteria; Bacillati; Actinomycetota; Actinomycetes; Micrococcales; Micrococcaceae.